RNAcentral lists this ribosomal RNA (480 nucleotides) under Triticum aestivum (bread wheat). RNAcentral's name for it is "partial small subunit ribosomal RNA". The record is from RNAcentral. Lineage: Eukaryota; Viridiplantae; Streptophyta; Magnoliopsida; Poales; Poaceae.
CUUGUUCAAACAGGGAGACAUAUAGUUCAUCAUUUGGUGUACUUCCUUCUAAAAUUGGUAUUGAUUCUACCAGUGGCAACAACGAAUGUUGAGAGAGCAUUUUCUGCCAUGGGUAUAGUGAAGAGCAAGUUGAGAAAUAAGAUGGGUGAUAGUCUUUUGGAUGAUUGCCUAGUCAGAUACAUUGAGAGGGAUGCUUUUGCCGAAGUGAAUGGAGAUGAUGUAAUUGAUACUGUCAUGGCAAUGCAAAAGCGUAGGCCAGAAACAUAUUCUUUUCGAGCUUCUGAAGGUAUGUACUAUGGUCUAUAUAGUAUGCACUAUGUAUGCUUCUUUAUGCAAAACUUAGACUUAAUUGAGAAUUUUAGUGUGUUUGUAAGACCAUAUUGUGAUAUUGAUCUAUUUCUAUGUGAUAUUGGUAAGUACUUAGAACGCCCACAUGUCGUAUUUCUUGUAAAAAAAUUUUGGAGGGUCGGACCACCCUGA